RNAcentral lists this ribosomal RNA (122 nucleotides) under Amazona aestiva (blue-fronted amazon). The record is from RNAcentral. Lineage: Eukaryota; Metazoa; Chordata; Aves; Psittaciformes; Psittacidae.
GCCUAUGGCCACACCCUGUCUCUUAUACACAUCUAGAUGUGUAUAAGAGACAGGCUAAGCAGAGUCGGGCUCGGUUAGUACUUGGAUGGGAGACCGCUUGGGAGUCCCAGGUGCUGUAGGCU